Molecule: ribosomal RNA, 425 nt
Filed under: uncultured bacterium
Lineage: Bacteria
Description: partial 16S ribosomal RNA
Rfam family: Bacterial small subunit ribosomal RNA
Source: RNAcentral
GUGGGGAAUAUUGGACAAUGGGCGCAAGCCUGAUCCAGCCAUGCCGCGUGAGUGAUGAAGGCCUUAGGGUUGUAAAGCUCUUUCAGUGGGGACGAUAAUGACGGUACCCACAGAAGAAGCCCCGGCUAACUUCGUGCCAGCAGCCGCGGUAAUACGAAGGGGGCUAGCGUUGUUCGGAUUUACAGGGCGUAAAGCGCACGUAGGCGGAUCGUUAAGUCGGGGGUGAAAUCCUGGAGCUCAACUCCAGAACUGCCUUCGAUACUGGCGAUCUUGAGUCCGGAAGAGGUGAGUGGAACUCCUAGUGUAGAGGUGGAAUUCGUAGAUAUUAGGAAGAACACCAGUGGCGAAGGCGGCUCACUGGUCCGGUACUGACGCUGAGGUGCGAAAGCGUGGGGAGCAAACAGGAUUAGAUACCCGUGUAGUCC